UACAGAGGUCCCAAGCGUUGUUCGGAUUCACUGGGCGUAAAGGGUGCGUAGGCGGCGCGGUAAGUCGGGUGUGAAAUCUCGGAGCUUAACUCCGAAACUGCAUUCGAUACUACCGUGCUUGAGGACUGGAGAGGAGACUGGAAUUUACGGUGUAGCGGUGAAAUGCGUAGAUAUCGUAAGGAAGACCAGUGGCGAAGGCGGGUCUCUGGACAGUUCCUGACGCUGAGGCACGAAGGUCAGGGGAGCAAACGGG
This 253-nucleotide ribosomal RNA is filed under the name uncultured bacterium. Its description in RNAcentral is "partial 16S ribosomal RNA". It matches the Rfam family "Bacterial small subunit ribosomal RNA", at positions 524 to 776 of the family's 1533-position model. The record is from RNAcentral.